CCUACGGGAGGCAGCAGUAGGGAAUCUUCCGCAAUGGACGAAAGUCUGACGGAGCAACGCCGCGUGAACGAUGAAGGCCUUCGGGUCGUAAAGCUCUGUUGUUAGGGAAGAACAAGUGCUAGUUGAAUAAGCUGGCACCUUGACGGUACCUAACCAGAAAGCCACGGCUAACUACGUGCCAGCAGCCGCGGUAAUACGUAGGUGGCAAGCGUUGUCCGGAAUUAUUGGGCGUAAAGCGCGCGCAGGCGGUUUCUUAAGUCUGAUGUGAAAGCCCCCGGCUCAACCGGGGAGGGUCAUUGGAAACUGGGAAACUUGAGUGCAGAAGAGGAAAGUGGAAUUCCAAGUGUAGCGGUGAAAUGCGUAGAGAUUUGGAGGAACACCAGUGGCGAAGGCGACUUUCUGGUCUGUAACUGACGCUGAGGCGCGAAAGCGUGGGGAGCAAACAGGAUUAGAUACCCGUGGUAGUCCACGCUGUAAACGAUGAGUGCUAAGUGUUAGAGGGUUUCCGCCCUUUAGUGCUGAAGUUAACGCAUUAAGCACUCCGCCUGGGGAUACGGUCGCAAGACUGAAACUCAAAUGAAUUGACGG
RNAcentral lists this ribosomal RNA (588 nucleotides) under uncultured bacterium. RNAcentral describes it as "bacterial SSU rRNA". It matches the Rfam family "Bacterial small subunit ribosomal RNA", at positions 338 to 916 of the family's 1533-position model. The record is from RNAcentral.